AAUCCAUGGUGAGGGAAUUAUCUGCGGUAGUCAUUGAAGCACUCCCAUGCUUCGUAAAAAGGCUCAUCUGUGAGCUGUAUGAAGAAGGUGAUCUUGUUCCUCAAUGC
Molecule: small nucleolar RNA, 107 nt
Organism: Raphanus sativus (radish)
Lineage: Eukaryota; Viridiplantae; Streptophyta; Magnoliopsida; Brassicales; Brassicaceae
Source: RefSeq, a predicted model, not a curated record